This 1397-nucleotide long non-coding RNA is filed under the name Homo sapiens (human). Its description in RNAcentral is "HSALNT0376427". The record is from RNAcentral. Lineage: Eukaryota; Metazoa; Chordata; Mammalia; Primates; Hominidae.
UUCAACCAAAUGGAUCCCAAAGCACUUUCCAAAUUAUGCAACUUUGGAGGUGAAUUGCCUCAGCUGUCCAACAGCUGUCAGCAGCACUCUGCAACAGGGACUGAGCAAGAGGGAGGACGCAGAUUCUCCACGGAACUCUUCGCAGCAUUUAGGUUUGUGGAAUGCAAUUCCCCAAAAUGGAGUUUGGCCCAGAGCAGGGUCUCAUCUACUCUCGGUAGAAAUGCAGUAAAGCCAUUCUUAUCCCUAAAUGAUCAGCAGAUUUCUCUGCCUUAUAAAAUAUAUCUGUGAAUGGAAAUUAAUACUAGUCUUGUGCCUAGGAAGAUCCAUUACAUAUUUCAAAUUACAUUUCUUUGGCAAUGACUUAUUUAAUAAUUGAUAAGGGGAUGGUGGUUUCAAGCAGAACCUCAUUUCCUGUUCACAUAUUAAGAGAUUAAUAAACUGUGGAAUUAAGUUAAAUCAGGCUGUCUGGAAUCUCAUGUGCUAAAAUCCACUCUGUUUUGGUCUAAGUUUGGGUUUUUUGAGGAGUUGUUUUUGCAACCUGAUAAAAUUCUGACUUUCCAUCUCUCGCCCUAUUAGUGCAGGCCCAGAUGAUUCAUGGUAAACUUUCCAGGAUAUUCUCUUAAUUCUGUGUUGUCCAACUAAGGAGUACAGGGGAUCUGCAAAGUUGUAAAAUCAAGGUGGUAAAGAUUCUUGGAGCUUCUAAUAUAUUCAAAAGUUUGAGCUAUGUGUCAGUCCCUGGGGAUCAAGUGAAGGAGGUACAGCUUCUUCAGUCACAGACUGUCUUGUCAUGUGGAUACAGGAAAGACCUAACAAGAAAAAGGCAUAGCCAAAAUGCAAAACCACCUACCUACACAGAGAACAACAGCAUAGUCUGAUCUGUUUCCACCAGCCAGCAAAAGUGAACCUGGUAAGUUUACUUUAGCCUCUAAACCUGCUUCCUGGAUUCUACAUCUUUUCUUAACUAUACCAUUGCUAUUUGGGGGCUGAGGGGGAACAGAACAAUUAGACACACCUGGUUAAAGUGUCCUGUGCCCUGUUCACACUUCAUGUUGUAUCUUAAAGUGACAGCAUAUUAAAAUGUCAAUGGAAUUCCUAGGCAUUAUGUGGCUAUCACAGCUGAAAGUAUAAUUAUAGUUCUUAGCCUACGGAACUAGAUUCCACUCAUUUCAAGGACCAGAAAGUAAUAUAUAGUGUGAAAUAUGUAAUUUUCACAAAAUUAUAAAAGGUUAGAAAAAUGAAGUGUACCUUCAUGUAAUCAAAAAUUCUUAUUGGCGUGUGUGUAUGUGUGAGUGUGUGUUUAUGUGUGAGCAUGUGUUUAGAGCUUGGUCAUGGUAUUCUUUGGAGUCUACCAUCACAUGUUAGGCACAAUACUUAAAAUUUUGGUCAAGAAAAGUGUU